Molecule: ribosomal RNA, 896 nt
Filed under: uncultured Pleosporales
Lineage: Eukaryota; Fungi; Ascomycota; Dothideomycetes; Pleosporales
Description: SSU rRNA
Rfam family: Eukaryotic small subunit ribosomal RNA
Source: RNAcentral
CUCUUUGGUGAUUCAUGAUAACUUAACGGAUCGCAUGGCCUUGCGCCGGCGACGGUUCAUUCAAAUUUCUGCCCUAUCAACUUUCGAUGGUAAGGUAUUGGCUUACCAUGGUUUCAACGGGUAACGGGGAAUUAGGGUUCGAUUCCGGAGAGGGAGCCUGAGAAACGGCUACCACAUCCAAGGAAGGCAGCAGGCGCGCAAAUUACCCAAUCCCGACACGGGGAGGUAGUGACAAUAAAUACUGAUACAGGGCUCUUUUGGGUCUUGUAAUCGGAAUGAGUACAAUUUAAACCCCUUAACGAGGAACAAUUGGAGGGCAAGUCUGGUGCCAGCAGCCGCGGUAAUUCCAGCUCCAAUAGCGUAUAUUAAAGUUGUUGCAGUUAAAAAGCUCGUAGUUGAACCUUGGGCCUGGCUGGCCGGUCCGCCUCACCGCGUGUACUGGUCCGGCCGGGCCUUUCCUUCUGGAGAGCCCCAUGCCCUUCACUGGGCGUGCGGGGGAACCAGGACUUUUACUUUGAAAAAAUUAGAGUGUUCAAAGCAGGCCUUUGCUCGAAUACGUUGGCAUGGAAUAAUAGAAUAGGACGUGCGGUCCUAUUUUGUUGGUUUCUAGGACCGCCGUAAUGAUUAAUAGGGAUAGUCGGGGGCAUCAGUAUUCAAUUGUCAGAGGUGAAAUUCUUGGAUUUAUUGAAGACUAACUACUGCGAAAGCAUUUGCCAAGGAUGUUUUCAUUAAUCAGUGAACGAAAGUUAGGGGAUCGAAGACGAUCAGAUACCGUCGUAGUCUUAACCGUAAACUAUGCCGACUAGGGAUCGGGCGAUGUUUCUAUCUUGACUCGCUCGGCACCUUACGAGAAAUCAAAGUUUUUGGGUUCUGGGGGGAGUAUGGUCGCAAGGCUG